UACAUCUCCAAUGCAAGCAGAUACCACAC
Molecule: non-coding RNA, 29 nt
Filed under: Mus musculus (house mouse)
Lineage: Eukaryota; Metazoa; Chordata; Mammalia; Rodentia; Muridae
Source: RNAcentral